This 253-nucleotide ribosomal RNA is filed under the name uncultured bacterium. RNAcentral describes it as "partial 16S ribosomal RNA". It matches the Rfam family "Bacterial small subunit ribosomal RNA", at positions 524 to 776 of the family's 1533-position model. The record is from RNAcentral.
UACGUAGGGGGCAAGCGUUGUCCGGAUUUAUUGGGCGUAAAGAGCGUGUAGGCGGCCAGGUAAGUCCGUUGUGAAAACUAGAGGCUCAACCUCUAGACGUCGAUGGAAACCAUCUGGCUAGAGUCCGGAAGAGGAGAGUGGAAUUCCUGGUGUAGCGGUGAAAUGCGCAGAUAUCAGGAAGAACACCCGUGGCGAAGGCGGCUCUCUGGGACGGUACUGACGCUGAGACGCGAAAGCGUGGGGAGCGAACAGG